ACGUCGAUUUACGUUUCGUAUGAACGAAGGUGAGAAUCAAGGGGCGCACUAUCCAUCGACUUCAUGAGUGUGUUAAAUCUUAGUCACUAAGGGUGUUGCUAUUGUUGCUAUUGUGUUGGCAUUGAAAAAUGAUUAGGCGUGUGACUCAAUUCUGAAAAAUUAGUGAAUGACAUGAAACAAAAAAAUCCACUGUUGACACCACACGGCCGUAGGGCACACGGGCUAGGCCAGGUAAUCAACAGACUUAGGAUCAAGUGGCGUACAAAAGUUUGGAUUGAUUUUUCGAGUAAUAUAACGAUUUAUGUUUAAUUCAUUUACAGACUUUUGGGCUGUAAAUCUAUUUUUUGACUUUACUUUAUGUUUUUGGUUCAUUUUGUUGGAUUUUUGUAUUUUUAACAUAAAACUGCAAAAUCAUACGAGUUAUCAAACUAAAAAUCAGUUUUCAAAACUAAAA
Gossypium arboreum is the source of this 454-nucleotide long non-coding RNA. RefSeq lists it as uncharacterized. NCBI's taxonomy places the organism in Eukaryota, Viridiplantae, Streptophyta, Magnoliopsida, Malvales, Malvaceae. The record is from RefSeq and is a predicted model, not a curated record. The transcript is spliced from 4 exons.